AUUGAACGCUGGCGGCAGGCCUAACACAUGCAAGUCGAACGGCAGAACGGUACUUGCUCGUGGAUUCAGCGGCGGACGGGUGAGUAAUGCCUAGGAACCUCCCUAUCUACUUUUUCGUGCGUGAGGACGCAGGCGCAAUUACCCUAUUCCCGCAGACGACGUACGGGUGGAAGCUUGGGAUCUUCCGACCUUGCGCGAUCGAAUGUGCCAAUGUCGGAUUAGCUAGUUGGUGGGGUAAAGGCCCACCAAGGCGACGAUCCGUAGCUGGUCUGAGAGGAUGAUCAGUCACACUGGAACUGAGACACGGUCCAGACUCCUACGGGAGGCAGCAGUGGGGAAUAUUGGACAAUGGGCGAAAGCCUGAUCCAGCCAUACCGCGUGUGUGAAGAAGGUCUUCGGGUUGUAAAGCACUUUUAGUGGGAAGGAAGAGCAGUAGGUUAAUACCUCGCUGUUUUGACGUUACCAACAGAAUAAGCACCGGCUAACUUCGUG
This 492-nucleotide ribosomal RNA is filed under the name uncultured bacterium. Its description in RNAcentral is "partial 16S ribosomal RNA". It matches the Rfam family "Bacterial small subunit ribosomal RNA", at positions 30 to 507 of the family's 1533-position model. The record is from RNAcentral.